AGAGUUUGAUCCUGGCUCAGGACGAACGCUGGCGGCGCGCCUAACACAUGCAAGUCGAACGAGCAAAGAGGAGCUUGCUUCUCUGAGCGAGUGGCGAACGGGUGAGUAACGCGUGAGGAACCUGCCUCAAAGAGGGGGACAACAGUUGGAAACGACUGCUAAUACCGCAUAAGCCCACGGGUCGGCAUCGACCAGAGGGAAAAGGAGCAAUCCGCUUUGAGAUGGCCUCGCGUCCGAUUAGCUAGUUGGUGAGGUAACGGCCCACCAAGGCGACGAUCGGUAGCCGGACUGAGAGGUUGAACGGCCACAUUGGGACUGAGACACGGCCCAGACUCCUACGGGAGGCAGCAGUGGGGAAUAUUGCACAAUGGGGGAAACCCUGAUGCAGCGACGCCGCGUGGAGGAAGAAGGUCUUCGGAUUGUAAACUCCUGUUGUUGAGGAAGAUAAUGACGGUACUCAACAAGGAAGUGACGGCUAACUACGUGCCAGCAGCCGCGGUAAAACGUAGGUCACAAGCGUUGUCCGGAAUUACUGGGUGUAAAGGGAGCGCAGGCGGGAAGACAAGUUGGAAGUGAAAUCCAUGGGCUCAACCCAUGAACUGCUUUCAAAACUGUUUUUCUUGAGUAGUGCAGAGGUAGGCGGAAUUCCCGGUGUAGCGGUGGAAUGCGUAGAUAUCGGGAGGAACACCAGUGGCGAAGGCGGCCUACUGGGCACCAACUGACGCUGAGGCUCGAAAGUGUGGGUAGCAAACAGGAUUAGAUACCCUGGUAGUCCACACCGUAAACGAUGAUUACUAGGUGUUGGAGGAUUGACCCCUUCAGUGCCGCAGUUAACACAAUAAGUAAUCCACCUGGGGAGUACGACCGCAAGGU
This 873-nucleotide ribosomal RNA is filed under the name uncultured bacterium. Its description in RNAcentral is "bacterial SSU rRNA". It matches the Rfam family "Bacterial small subunit ribosomal RNA", at positions 8 to 894 of the family's 1533-position model. The record is from RNAcentral.